AGAGCACAGGGUGGAUGCCUAGGCACUGAGAGCCGAUGAAGGACGUGAUAAGCUGCGAAAAGCCACGGGGAGGAGCAAAUAUCCUUUGAGCCGUGGAUAUCCGAAUGGGGGAACCCACUUAAGUAAACCUUAAGUACUGACAAGCCAAUACAUAACUUGCCAGAGGGAACCCGGGGAACUGAAACAUCUAAGUACCCGGAGGAAGAGAAAGAAACAUCGAUUUCCUUAGUAGCGGCGAGCGAAAGGGAAAGAGCCCAAACCGAGAGAUUUAUCUUUCGGGGUUAGGACUGCAUAAUUGAUCUGCGAUUGAUAGGAGAAUGGUCUGGGAAGUCCAGCAGGAAAGCGUGAAAGCCGCGUAUCCGAAAUUGAAAGCAGCAAGGCAGUAUCCAGAGUACCACGAGACACGAGGAACCUUGUGGGAAUGAGCGGAGACCACUCCGUAAGGCUAAAUACUACUCAGUGACCGAUAGCGCAUAGUACUGUGAAGGAAAGGUGAAAAGGACCCCGGGAGGGGAGUGAAAGAGAACCUGAAACCCUGUGUUUACAAGCUGUCGGAGCACGAUAAGUGCGACGGCGUACUUUUUGUAGAACGGUCCGGCGAGUUAUGAUACGCGGUAAGGUUAAGGACUUAAGGUCCGGAGCCGAAGCGAAAGCGAGUGUUAAGAGCACGAGGAAUCACGUAUCAUAGACCCGAAACCGGGUGAUCUAUCCAUGUCCAGGAUGAAGCUGCCGUAAGAGGUAGUGGAGGUCCGAACACACAUCCGUUGAAAAGGGUGGUGAUGAGGUGUGGAUAGGGGAGAAAUUCCAAUCGAACCCGGAGAUAGCUGGUUCUCCUCGAAAUAGCUUUAGGGCUAGCCUUCAGUUAGUCUGCCGCAGGUAGAGCACUGAAUUUCCUAGGGGGCGUCAAAGCCUACCGAAGAAUAUCAAACUGCGAAUGGCGGACAGAUGAUGCUGGGGAGUCAGACUGCACGAGAUAAGUUGGGUGGUCAAAAGGGAAAGAGCCCAGACCUACAGCUAAGGUCCCAAAGUGCGUGUUAAGUGGAAAAGGAUGUGGGAUUUCGAAGACAACUAGGAUGUUGGCUCAGAAGCAGCCACACAUUAAAAGAGUGCGUAAUAGCUCACUAGUCGAGAGGUCCUGCGCCGAAAAUGUCCGGGGCUGAAACACGACACCGAAGCUUAGGAACAAAGAAACCAAGGUUUCUAUAUGUUGGUAGAGGAGCAUUGUUAGCGGAACGAAGCCAUACCGGAAGGAGUGGUGGACUGCUAAGAAGAGAGAAUGCCGGAAUGAGUAGCGAGAUUGAAGUGAGAAUCUUCAAGGCCGAAUAUCUAAGGUUUCCAGGGUAAAGCUGAUCUGCCCUGGGUAAGUCGGGGCCUAAGGCGAGGUCGAAAGACGUAGCCGAUGGACAACAGGUUGAAAUUCCUGUACUGCGAUAUAUCAGAAAUGUGGGGACACAGAAGGAAAGUGUGAGCCGGGAAAGGAAAGACCGGUGCAAGCACAGGAGGAGAGAUACAGGCAAAUCCGUAUUUCAAUCCAAUGGUGUUACGCGGAGCGAACAAAAGUAGCGAAGCACACAGACCAUCUGUCGAGAAAAGCCGCUAUUGUGUAUACCGUACCCGUACCGUAAACCGACACAGGUGGAUGAGGAGAGAAUCCUAAGGCCGGCGGGAGAAGCAUUGUUAAGGAACUCGGCAAAAUGACCCCGUAACUUCGGGAGAAGGGGUGCUCUUAGAAAUAAGAGCCGCAGAGAAUUGGCCCAAGCAACUGUUUAGCAAAAACACAGGUCUAUGCAAAACCGAAAGGUGAGGUAUAUGGGCUGACGCCUGCCCGGUGCUGGAAGGUUAAGGGGAGAGGUUAGCGCAAGCGAAGCUUUGAACUUAAGCCCCAGUAAACGGCGGCCGUAACUAUAACGGUCCUAAGGUAGCGAAAUUCCUUGUCGGGUAAGUUCCGACCCGCACGAAAGGCGUAAUGAUUUGGGCACUGUCUCAACAAUGCACCCGGUGAAAUUGAAAUACCAGUGAAGAUGCUGGUUACCUGCGCCAGGACGGAAAGACCCCAUGGAGCUUUACUCCAGCUUGAUACUGGGAUUCGGUAUUGCAUGUACAGGAUAGGUGGGAGGCUAAGAAGUGGUAACGCCAGUUGCCAUGGAGCCGCUGUUGGGAUACCACCCUUGCAGUACUGGGUUUCUAACCAGCAGCCGUGAUCCGGCUGGGGGACAAUGUCAGGUGGGGAGUUUGACUGGGGCGGUCGCCUCCGAAAGGGUAUCGGAGGCGCUCAAAGGU
Molecule: ribosomal RNA, 2280 nt
Filed under: human gut metagenome
Description: bacterial LSU rRNA
Rfam family: Bacterial large subunit ribosomal RNA
Source: RNAcentral